UACGUAGGCAGCAAGCGUUGUUCGGAGUUACUGGGCGUAAAGGGUGUGUAGGCGGUUGUUUAAGUUUGGUGUGAAAUCUCCCGGCUCAACUGGGAGGGUGCGCCGAAUACUGAAUGACUAGAGUGCGGGAGAGGAAAGUGGAAUUCCUGGUGUAGCGGUGAAAUGCGUAGAUAUCAGGAGGAACACCGGUGGUGUAGACGGCUUUCUGGACCGUAACUGACGCUGAGACACGAAAGCGUGGGCAGCAAACAGG
Molecule: ribosomal RNA, 253 nt
Filed under: uncultured bacterium
Lineage: Bacteria
Description: partial 16S ribosomal RNA
Rfam family: Bacterial small subunit ribosomal RNA
Source: RNAcentral